CGGAACGUAGCGCAGCCUGGUAGCGCACCGUCAUGGGGUGUCGGGGGUCGGAGGUUCAAAUCCUCUCGUUCCGA
This 74-nucleotide transfer RNA is filed under the name Paraferrimonas sedimenticola. It matches the Rfam family "tRNA". From Rfam's summary of the family: Transfer RNA (tRNA) molecules are approximately 80 nucleotides in length. Lineage: Bacteria; Pseudomonadati; Pseudomonadota; Gammaproteobacteria; Alteromonadales; Ferrimonadaceae. RNAcentral also lists the same sequence under 2 other names. The record is from Rfam by way of RNAcentral.